Molecule: transfer RNA, 71 nt
Filed under: Albula goreensis
Lineage: Eukaryota; Metazoa; Chordata; Actinopteri; Albuliformes; Albulidae
Description: tRNA-OTHER
Rfam family: tRNA
About the family: Transfer RNA (tRNA) molecules are approximately 80 nucleotides in length.
Source: RNAcentral
GCCCCGGUAGCUCAUCCGGUAGAGCGCUUGCCACAUAAGCAAAGGGCCCAGGUUCGAAUCCGGCCUGGGCC